This 380-nucleotide ribosomal RNA is filed under the name uncultured eukaryote. Its description in RNAcentral is "partial 18S ribosomal RNA". It matches the Rfam family "Eukaryotic small subunit ribosomal RNA", at positions 592 to 976 of the family's 1831-position model. The record is from RNAcentral.
CAAUAGCGUAUAUUAAAGUUGUUGCAGUUAAAAAGCUCGUAGUUGGAUUUGUGGCGUACGGUGUGUUCCGGGCACUUGUUGUCUGAGUAACCUGCUGUUGCCAUCCUUGGGUGGAACCUGUGUGGCAUUAGGUUGUCGUGCAGGGGAUGCCCAUCGUUUACUGUGAAAAAAUUAGAGUGUUCAAAGCAGGCUUAUGCCGUUGAAUAUAUUAGCAUGGAAUAAUGAGAUAGGACUUUUUUGCUAUUUUGUUGGUUUGCGCAAAGAGGUAAUGAUUAAUAGGGACAGUUGGGGGUAUUCGUAUUCCAUUGUCAGAGGUGAAAUUCUUGGAUUUUUGGAAGACGAACUACUGCGAAAGCAUUUACCAAGGAUGUUUUCAUUAA